This 200-nucleotide ribosomal RNA is filed under the name uncultured bacterium. RNAcentral describes it as "partial 16S ribosomal RNA". It matches the Rfam family "Bacterial small subunit ribosomal RNA", at positions 8 to 225 of the family's 1533-position model. The record is from RNAcentral.
AGAGUUUGAUCCUGGCUCAGGAUAAACGCUGGCGGCGUGCCUAACACAUGCAAGUCGAACGCCCUUAGCAAUAAGGGAGUGGCGGACGGGUGAGGAACACGUGGGUUAUCUACCUCCGGGUGAGGAAUACCGGCGAGAAAUCGCCGACAAUACCGCAUAGGUUUGCGCAAGCAAGCAAAGCUCGCAAGAGCGCCGGGAGA